UACGGGGGGAGCAAGCGUUGUUCGGAUUUACUGGGCGUAAAGGGCGCGUAGGCGGCAUGACAAGUCACUUGUGAAAUCUCUGGGCUUAACCCAGAACGGCCAAGUGAAACUGUCGCGCUAGAGUGCGGAAGGGGCAAUCGGAAUUCUUGGUGUAGCGGUGAAAUGCGUAGAUAUCAAGAGGAACACCUGAGGUGAAGACGGGUUGCUGGGCCGACACUGACGCUGAUGCGCGAAAGCCAGGGGAGCAAACGGG
This 253-nucleotide ribosomal RNA is filed under the name uncultured bacterium. Its description in RNAcentral is "partial 16S ribosomal RNA". It matches the Rfam family "Bacterial small subunit ribosomal RNA", at positions 524 to 776 of the family's 1533-position model. The record is from RNAcentral.